UCUCCACCUCCCUCCAGCCCCACUGCCUCGUUCCCUCCUCCCUCUCCCUCUGGAGCGUCCUUCCAGCACGGGGGACCAGGAGCUCCACCGUCAUCUUCAGCAUAUGCGCUGCCUCCUGGAGCAACAGAUGCCUGAGAACUUUACGCCUCCUGUUCCCAUCACAUCACCGAUCAUGAACCCCUUGGGUGACCCCCAGUCACAGAUGCUGCAGCAACAGCCUUCAGCUCCAGGACCACUAUCAAGCCAAGCUUCCUUCCCGCAGCCACACCUUCCAGGUGGCCAGCCCUUCCACGGCAUACAGCAACCCCUCAGUCAACCAGGCAUGCCUCCGUCUUUUUCAAAGCCCAGUAUUGAAGGUGCCCCUGGGGCUCCUAUUGGAAAUACCAUGCAGCAUGUGCAGUCUUUGCCAACAGAAAAAAUUACCAAGAAACCUAUUCCAGAUGAACACCUCAUUCUAAAGACCACAUCUGAGGAUCUUAUUCAGCGCUGCCUCUCUUCAGCCACAGAUCCUGUAUGUAUUUUUUAUUUUGCUUAAUUCAAAGAAUCCCUUAUGGAGCGCUUCUAUAAUGAUUGCUUAAAGUCUUACAAGAUGUAUUUUGAAAGUUUAUGCAAAAGUAGUA
This is a long non-coding RNA of Balaenoptera acutorostrata (minke whale), 620 nucleotides long. RefSeq lists it as uncharacterized. NCBI's taxonomy places the organism in Eukaryota, Metazoa, Chordata, Mammalia, Artiodactyla, Balaenopteridae. The record is from RefSeq and is a predicted model, not a curated record. The transcript is spliced from 3 exons.